CUUACUUGUUGCAAACAAACGCCUCAGGCGAGGAAUUAAAGGGAAAUACCAUGCAACUUUCUAAGGAGCUCCACUCCUCCUUGUCUCAUCACCCCAUCAUUUCUUCGUUUGUAUCGAGGGGUUCCACACUUGGGGCAUUCGGUUAAAUCUGCAUUAUCACCACGGAACAAGAUGCAGUCAUUCUUACAAGCAUGUAUUUUUUCCACCUCCAACCCCA
RNAcentral lists this long non-coding RNA (217 nucleotides) under Panicum hallii. RNAcentral describes it as "long non-coding RNA (PHAL_LNC000702)". Lineage: Eukaryota; Viridiplantae; Streptophyta; Magnoliopsida; Poales; Poaceae. The record is from RNAcentral.